CACCUGCUCCCUUGCCCCUGCACGAAUUCCCACUAGAACUUCACACUAGGCAUGGCUCCCACUGAAUUCAUCAUCCCUUUCUGCCCCCAGCCUGCUCUUCCUGGGGUCUUUAUAAGCAAGUGACACCCACUCUCCCUAUCAUUUCUACCUCUAACCUCCUUCUCUCACUCCACACAUUUAUUGACGGCUUACUCUGCGUCCCCAUAUGCCUUCAUAAAUACCCUACCCUAAAAAGACUUGAUAAUUUUCCUUUGGCCGGCUAAAUCACUGCAUUUCACACCUUCCUUCACCAGGUCUGGGGUCUAGUCUGGAGCUUCUCUCUGCUUGCUUCCUUCCAGAGGUCUUCCUGAGGCUUUUGCCUAACACCUUGUAUCUGGUGGAUGCUUCUCCCCUACGCCAGAGGAGCUGGGCAAGUAGAGGUAAUCAAAGUAGAAAGGGGAAAAGGAAAAGAUGAAAAGCCUGGGAAAAGGUAAGGAUGCAGAUUUGCCCAUGGACUUAGCCCUAGCUACUCCUAGCCUCCGGUCCCUGAAGGACACAAGAAAAGAAAAAAUUUUUUUUCAGUAAGAGUAAUAGCAUUUUAUCAUCUGUCAGCGCCCACCCCUCACGGUGAUGCCUCUCACACAUAGGCCUGGAAGAGCUCUGGGUAGUGCUGGAAACUCACAGAGGGGUCUGAACACUCCUGAGGAAGAGCCCAGGGCAGAGUUCACACCUGUGUGUCAGCCCUUGAGGUCCACGGCACCAGGCUGGCACUGGGGUCUACUGGUGGGCCUCUGGCUAAAGCACCUUCCACACUAGGGACAGGAAUAGGUCAGCUUGCCUGUGUGAGUCAGCAGGUAGCACGAGAGGUACCACCUGUGGCAGAAACAGGUGCCACACUACGCGCAGGCAAAGGGCCCCUCUCCAGAAUGCACUGAGUCAGGUGAAAGGUCAUGGCAAAGCGUGCCUGCACUCGGGGCAGGGUGCUGUGUGAGUACCAGGCACUGAGGCUGGGUGUAGAGUUGGGGCUUGGGAAAGGCCUGUCUACCUGGGGUGCUUUGGCCACAGGCUCAGAGACCAAGCUAGUGUCUCUGACCCCAGGAGCUCAUGACAACUCCCCAGUAGACUCCUGCUGGCUUCUUCCAAAUGUAUCAUUUUUCUGAGUGGCUGUUUUGAAACAGCAGAUUCAAAACUUACUUUUUGCCCUAUUCAGUCAAACUCUACUCAAUGUUUAGGUGGCAGAAUCAACUUUCACAACCUCAGAUGGGUGCCUAGCCCCUGGAAGCACCCACCUAGACUGUGUUGACCAAUUGAGGGGGUCACGGCAAGUCAGGGACAUUCCCACUUCAGGACCAACCCAAAGAGACACCCUCAACCAGAGAAACAGGUGUUAUAAGGCACAGGCACCUACAGGAAGGGGAACUGCUUCCAUCCUAAACUUUCAUUCACACGUUGACACUGACCUAGAGUUUGGAUGAUUUGUACAGUGUGACCUGAUCUUGGGACGCGUGGAUGCCUCAAUUAAGUGAAAAAGAGAAGGUCAAGAUUCUAGUCUCCGGCAUCCACCUGGGGAUCCUGAGCAUCUGCACUCCACAUCUGGGCCAUCUUUUCUACCCAGGAGAUGAGAGCUGGUUUGGGCUCUGGAAUCUUGGAGAAGAACGUUAAUCACUCAAUAAACAAUUCUUCAUUCAUUUAAUGAAAACA
Molecule: non-coding RNA, 1680 nt
Organism: Callorhinus ursinus (northern fur seal)
Lineage: Eukaryota; Metazoa; Chordata; Mammalia; Carnivora; Otariidae
Source: RefSeq, a predicted model, not a curated record